AGAGUUUGAUCAUGGCUCAGAACUAACGCUGGCGGCGUGCCUAACACAUGCAAGUCGCGCGGUCGCCAUUUUGUAGCAAUACAGAAGAAGCGAUAGCGGCAAACGGGUGAGUAACACGUAACCAAUCUACCUUACCGUCCGGGAUAACCAACCGAAAGGUUAGCUAAUACCAGAUGCGACUAUCGAGCGGCAUCGUUUGA
Molecule: ribosomal RNA, 200 nt
Filed under: uncultured bacterium
Lineage: Bacteria
Description: partial 16S ribosomal RNA
Rfam family: Bacterial small subunit ribosomal RNA
Source: RNAcentral